This 497-nucleotide ribosomal RNA is filed under the name uncultured bacterium. RNAcentral's name for it is "partial 16S ribosomal RNA". It matches the Rfam family "Bacterial small subunit ribosomal RNA", at positions 28 to 507 of the family's 1533-position model. The record is from RNAcentral.
GAUGAACGUUGGCGGCGUGCCUAAUACAUGCAAGUCGAGCGAACAGAUAAGGAGCUUGCUCCUUUGACGUUAGCGGCGGACGGGUGAGUAACACGUGGGUAACCUACCUAUAAGACUGGAAUAACUCCGGGAAACCGGGGCUAAUGCCGGAUAACAUUUAGAACCGCAUGGUUCUAAAGUGAAAGAUGGUUUUGCUAUCACUUAUAGAUGGACCCGCGCCGUAUUAGCUAGUUGGUAAGGUAACGGCUUACCAAGGCAACGAUACGUAGCCGACCUGAGAGGGUGAUCGGCCACACUGGAACUGAGACACGGUCCAGACUCCUACGGGAGGCAGCAGUAGGGAAUCUUCCGCAAUGGGCGAAAGCCUGACGGAGCAACGCCGCGUGAGUGAUGAAGGUCUUCGGAUCGUAAAACUCUGUUAUUAGGGAAGAACAAAUGUGUAAGUAACUGUGCACGUCUUGACGGUACCUAAUCAGAAAGCCACGGCUAACUACGUG